CCUCACCUCCUGCCGGCCUCUCUGCUUGCCCUCCCCGCCCCAGGGGGGGUGUGGGGGUGGGAGGCCUUGAGAUUGUCCCCGGUACCCCAAGGACGCCGAGGUUACGGGAAGUUUGGGGACCUGGGCCCCAGUAUCCUGAGUUCUUCCAGGAGAAAGAAGAUGGCAUAGAAGAAGUGAGGGAGAGAGCAAACGUCUGACUCUGGGGUGCUUAUCUGUGUGGAAGAGACCGGUUCUUCCUGACUGGCUUCAUGUCCCUCAAGAUCCCAAGAAGGCUAUGGCCAUUUCAAAGCCAGAGAAUAGGGGCAGAGAAUAGGGGCAGAGACUCAGCAGCCUGCUCCUGGGUGCAAAGAGACAAGGCCAGGUGCAGCCUAUGCUCACAACCCUGGAAG
RNAcentral lists this long non-coding RNA (389 nucleotides) under Mus caroli (Ryukyu mouse). RNAcentral describes it as "lncRNA (MGP_CAROLIEiJ_G0006214.1)". Lineage: Eukaryota; Metazoa; Chordata; Mammalia; Rodentia; Muridae. The record is from RNAcentral.